This 800-nucleotide long non-coding RNA is filed under the name Volvox carteri. RNAcentral's name for it is "long non-coding RNA (VCAR_LNC000886)". The record is from RNAcentral. Lineage: Eukaryota; Viridiplantae; Chlorophyta; Chlorophyceae; Chlamydomonadales; Volvocaceae.
ACCCGGCGGAGGUCUCAGCAGCGCCUCCUCCCCCUCCCCCCCCGGCUGCAUGCGCUGCUGCCCUCCGCUGCCGUCGUCCUCGAACCAGGCGCUCAGCAGCCUCAGGGCGGGUAUGGACCUGGCCGCCGCCACCACUGCCCGACGUACGGGGGGAAGGCUGGCAGCUGCGGGGGAGCCGUCUGCCUGCGGACAACGUGGAGAGGGGGCAGGGGGGAGCCAUACACAUGCGGGGGGAGAACGGGGAAGGGAGGGGUGUGGAUUUCCCACCAGUCUGACAAAGGUGCGCGAGCUGCAUACACACAUACGUACACGCACAUGCACACAGGGAAGAGAGGACAGCCCUACUGUCUGGCUGCCCCUGGGCUGGGCCCCCCCCCAGUUGACCUCUCCUACCGCCACAGAUCGGGUGCCUCAGCCCCCCGCCCCCCCCCGCCCCCCAUAUCCUCCCAACCACCCAGCCCCACGCAGUCAACCUCUCCCCCACCUCACCCCCAGCCGCUGCCUGAGCUCCCCUGCCGCCCGGCACAUGCCCAUAAGCCCCGAAACCAGCUGCCGUACAGUCACACAUUGACUGCGCCGGGUGCUCACUGCCCACGCCACAUCGCAAGGGUCCCCCUCCUCCUCCUCCUCCUCGCCCUGCUGCUGUUGCUGCAAUGGGUAGUCCGCCCCCUCACCACCACUGCCAUUACCACCACUUCCCCCCGCUCCCGCUCCCGCUGCCCCGGCCGGUGCUGCUCCCCGCCUGGCUGGGGAUUGACAGCCCACCUGGAGGGGCAGGCGCAGUAGCAGACAGCGGUAGC